GAUGAACGCUAGCGGCAGGCUUAAUACAUGCAAGUCAAGGGGGUAGCAAUACAACCGGCGCACGGGUGAGUAACGCGUAUACAACAUACCAUAUACUGGAGUAUAGCUUUGGGAAACUGAAGGUAAUCCUCCAUAACAUUGCGAGAGGGCAUCUGAUUGCAAUUAAAGUUUCGGCGGUAUAUGAUUGGUGUGCGUUUGAUUAGCUAGUUGGUAGGGUAACGGCCUACCAAGGCGACGAUCAAUAGCUGGUGUGAGAGCGCGACCAGCCACACUGGAACUGAGACACGGUCCAGACUCCUACGGGAGGCAGCAGUAGGGAAUAUUGGACAAUGGAGGAAACUCUGAUCCAGCCAUGCCGCGUGAUAGAUGAAGGCCCUCUGGGUUGUAAAUAUCUUUUAUCUGGGAAGAAACACUCCUAUUCUUAGGAACUUGACGGUACCAGAGGAAUAAGCACCGGCUAACUCCGUGCCAGCAGCCGCGGUAAUG
This 486-nucleotide ribosomal RNA is filed under the name uncultured bacterium. Its description in RNAcentral is "bacterial SSU rRNA". It matches the Rfam family "Bacterial small subunit ribosomal RNA", at positions 28 to 525 of the family's 1533-position model. The record is from RNAcentral.